UCUACCACUGUGAACACCCAGAGAGAGGAGAGUCACUGAAAAGCUGGGUCUCAGUCAGACCUUCAGUUCCUUCAGGUGUAGAAGCUCCAUUCUCAGUGCUCAUGCUGAUCUGUAGUGUGGUGACGGCCUCUCCGUAUCUGCUGGUGACCAUCAUUCUGCUGCUCAUAUGUUACAGAGCUCGAGAUCACACUGAUGAAGACAGAAUUGAGAAUGCAGUCAUAGAGGCUUGAGCAAAAUUCAUCUAUAAAAAUAAGAUACAUUUACUAUAAUAUAUAUUAUUCCAGAAUUUCUUUUUCUUUAUGGUUUUGUGUGGAUUUUAAAACAAUACUGAUUUGUCAUUUAAAUGUCCUGCUGUUAUUUGCUCAUCAUAUUAUAGACACCCUCAUUGUUGUUAAUGGCUUUGUUUAGUUAAUGUCUGCAACCUCCUGAUGAGGUGAAAAUUACUGUGUUCAGUAAUUUUUUACAGCCAGCUUUUUUAUGCAAUAUAAAAAUGUUAUCUGAAAUAUGGUGCUAAUAUUGUGUUUUGUGUCUUCACAGUAUUAGUUCUACCACUGCUGCAUUUGU
Tachysurus fulvidraco (yellow catfish) is the source of this 564-nucleotide long non-coding RNA. RefSeq lists it as uncharacterized. NCBI's taxonomy places the organism in Eukaryota, Metazoa, Chordata, Actinopteri, Siluriformes, Bagridae. The record is from RefSeq and is a predicted model, not a curated record. The transcript is spliced from 3 exons.